GGAUGCGAUCAUACCAGCACUAAAGCACCGGAUCCCAUCAGAACUCCAAAGUUAAGCGUGCUUGGGCGAGAGUAGUACUAGGAUGGGUGACCUCCUGGGAAGUCGUCCUCGUGUUGCAUUCC
RNAcentral lists this ribosomal RNA (122 nucleotides) under Triticum aestivum (bread wheat). The record is from RNAcentral. Lineage: Eukaryota; Viridiplantae; Streptophyta; Magnoliopsida; Poales; Poaceae.